UCCAAGUCUUCCUGGUGUACCUGUGCUCUGUAUGGACACUAGUUUCCCAGAGCCCUCUGCAUGGAAUCCCUGCAGUGCAGAGCUUCAGACAGAAGCGUGCUGUACCAGCGCCGUCUGUGAUGAGUGAGGCAGAGACGUACCCGAGUGAGGCAUGGGGCGGGUAGGCGCCAGGAGCGGGACAUCCAACCAGCAAAGAAAAUGGAGCCUGAUUAAUGCAUCCGCCACACAGAAAAAAACGGGCAGGGGCUGUCCUUUGUUCCUCUAUUUGUGACUUUGCAAUGUGGAUUUGAUUACAGCGCUCUGAACUCAGCAGAUUUCCUCCCCGCGCGCAGUGGAAAACAUUGAUGUCCUAUUUACAAAGAAUUUCUGGGAAGCCUGUUGCACAUACAUAUCAACAACUGCUUGCUUGGAUGGUUUUUAUUUAAUAGUGUUUUGAAAAGCAUAUGGAGAAGAUUUCUACUGUGGUACAUUUAACUCAGAAAUGUGUUGUGCCUGGAGGAAGGAGCUUUUAGGAGUUACGGUACUUUGUAUCUGUGAAGUGUGCUGCUGGAGGGAUGUGCGUUCGGGCUCUUGUUUUAUUGUAAUCUCUGGAGCCUGUGGCUGGCUUGUACCUUGAUGGAGAUCUCGGUUUGUACGCAGGCAGGGCUCAGUGCAAGUUCUAUUUAGUAGAAGUUUUGCUCAAGGCUUUGAGUUUUAUAACAUUUUUUUAUGACAUUUGCUCUUUGGAACAAUAUCUGCAGUACGUUCGUUUUCCUUUACUCCAAGCUCCAGCAAUCACCCUAAAAAGGCAUUACAUAAUGCACCACAUCUGGCCUUGGAAAGGACAGUCUGUAUUUGGGUCAUGAUCAUUACUUUAAUGGAGGUGCAGCGAGGAGAUUCGAAGGUCACAGGAGAAGCCUUUCAGAGCUGGUGCGCAGGAGCAAUACAGAGUACAAGCAAAUUGUCUGCAGUCUGUAGGAACCCAACAUAUCCUGCAUGAGCAGGAAUUGCAGCCAUCGGACCCCACCACGUUUGGCUGCUCUUGAGUUCCUGGUGAUUUUCUCCAUUGCAACUAAUUUCUGAAUUUGUUAGCAUGCAGCAGGAAGCCUGAAGGCACAAAAGCAAGCCAAUGUUAUUUGGACAGUCUUUUUAAUUUCAAAGUAACCCUGUAUCUGGUGCAAUUCGCUUUAAAUAGUACAUCCUCAUAUUAUUGUUUUGAAAGGUUCCUUAAAAAAUUGUGAGGGACUUUUCUGUUUCCUUACUGAAAUUUACAGCGGUCUUUUCAGCAAGGAAGAAACAAACCAGGGUGCCACAUCUGAACGUCUUUGCACAGACAACUAACCAAAAUAAAGGAAAUUCAUGCUUGAAAUCUCUGUAGGCUAAAAAAGGCAGACUGGGCCUGGUUAGGAUGCUGAGUUCCCAGUGCAGGCUGAAGAAUGCAAUGCCUUCACAACACAGCAGGAACAGUGCCAGCAAUGACGGCCCUACAGAGCAGCCCACAAGGGCAAACAACCACAGUUACUCUUCUUGUGUGGAAAGAAGAUUGCCACUUCUGCAAAUACCAUUUAAGGCCAUUAAACAGUAACAGCAUGGAAUCUACACCUUUUUUUAUCAGAAGAUUAUAGCGAUGACAGCAAAAGGAGGAUGCUUCCCACAUAAGAGCAAAAGGAGGAUGUGUGCCCAAGUGGGAGCAGAGGGGAUUUUUGGUACGGUGAAGCUCUGAAGAAGACUCAGAACCAGGGUCUCUGUGACAGCCCCACUGGGUGUCAUAUACUGAACUCAGAGCUGAUGGAGAAUGGAGUUAAGACAUGGAGAAAUAUACAGAUAACGAUUGGUCUCCACUGGCAGAGUUCCAAAAAUAUCAUCAUCUUUAUGCAUCAUAGAUAUCUUUAUAGAUAUGGUUAAAAACUCCAGUACCCAAAGAGCAUUCGGUAGUGCCUGCUGGAAAAACACCUAGGAAGGAGGCGGUGAGUCAGCCCGAUUUGUGUUUUUACAGUGAUGUUAAAGACCAAGUUCAUUUAUAAGAGGGAGAAGUCUGCACCUCCGAAAUCUUGUCUAUAUUAGGGAAUUUUACUCAUAAAACAGGGAAGCAAAAUAACUUGACACAUUCCAUCGGCUAAGCCCCACUAAAGUUAAAAUUGCUGGGAGGUUAAAUAUGCACAUAUUUCUGCUGCCUUGCAGCAUUUUUGCUGGUGGAUCAAUCAAGUGUUCCUCAGCAGGCUAAUUCUGUCCCUGCUUUGGAGCAUGCUCAGAGUUGCCAAAUUUUAAGCAAGAUGUUCAAAGCUUCUCUAUACGAUCACAUUGAUGUCUUUUUGCUUAGUUGCUUUACUGACAUUGAUGAACCAUUUCCCAGAUUUGUCCCUCGUCCUCUCCCCCCCGAAAAAAAUCAGAUUGCAAGAGAUAUUCAAAGAAGGAAUCAUCUGCCUAAACAGUUAAAACUUAAAACAACCACCAGCUGAAAUUAUAGCCAACUAAAAGCUGCCUCUUGUAAUGGAAAUAUCAGACAUCCUUAAUUGUAGGUCAGCACCAGUUCUGCCUACAACAGAAUGCGUUUAUUUUCAUCCAUAGAAAUGAAUGGAGAUUAGGGGAAAGAAAAAAAAUCCACCUCUUAAAUCCAAAAUCCAGGCUGCUCUUCCCUGCCGGGCCAGCAAGCAGCUACAGAAUUCCCACCCCACUUGUUUGCUGUGGUUACACAGCCCUGUGUUAUUUCCACUAUCUCACAUACAGAGCCAAAAGAACUUGGAAGAUGAAAAGACUUGUGCUUUCAAAUAUUUUCCUUUUAAAAGCAGAAAACUAAGUGUAAUUCUAUUAAUGCAUUCUUAUUUUGGAGGGACCGCUGAAGUCAGGAAAUACCAAGUCAGUGCUCUGUUCUAUUCGUUGUGCAGAUGUACCACUUUCUAUUCCUCUUUUCCUUGUUAAAUAUAAGCUGUUGUGUCA
Non-coding RNA from Coturnix japonica (Japanese quail), 2916 nucleotides. The record is from RefSeq and is a predicted model, not a curated record. Lineage: Eukaryota; Metazoa; Chordata; Aves; Galliformes; Phasianidae.